RNAcentral lists this ribosomal RNA (1502 nucleotides) under marine sediment metagenome. RNAcentral's name for it is "bacterial SSU rRNA". It matches the Rfam family "Bacterial small subunit ribosomal RNA". The record is from RNAcentral.
AGAGUUUGAUCCUGGCUCAGGAUGAACGCUAGCGGGAGGCUUAACACAUGCAAGUCGAGGGGUAAGGCUUUCUUCGGAAAGUACACGACCGGCGCACGGGUGAGUAACGCGUAUGCAACCUACCUUUUACAGGAGGAUAGCCCGAAGAAAUUCGGAUUAAUACUCCAUAGUUUUAUUUAAUCGCAUGAUUUGAAUAAAUAAAGUUCCGGCGGUAAAAGAUGGGCAUGCGUGCCAUUAGUUUGUUGGUGAGGUAACGGCUCACCAAGACUACGAUGGUUAUGGGGUCUUAAAGGAUGAUCCCACACACUGGUACUGAGACACGGACCAGACUCCUACGGGAGGCAGCAGUGAGGAAUAUUGGUCAAUGGGCGCAAGCCUGAACCAGCCAUCCCGCGUGAAGGAUGACAGUCCUAGAGAUUGUAAACUUCUUUUAUAUAGGAAGAAUAAGAGCUACGUGUAGUUCGAUGACUGUACUAUAUGAAUAAGCACCGGCUAACUCCGUGCCAGCAGCCGCGGUAAUACGGAGGGUGCAAGCGUUAUCCGGAUUUAUUAGGUUUAAAGGGUGCGUAGGCGGAAGCUUAAGUCAGUGGUAAAAGGCAGUAGCUUAACUAUUGUAAGCCAUUGAAACUGGGUUUCUUGAGUUCGGUAGAGGUAGGCGGAAUGUGUUGUGUAGCGGUGAAAUGCAUAGAUAUAACACAGAACACCGAUUGCGAAGGCAGCUUACUAUGCCGUUACUGACGCUAAGGCACGAAAGCGUGGGUAUCAAACAGGAUUAGAUACCCUGGUAGUCCACGCUGUAAACGAUGAUUACUCGUUGUUGGCAAUACAUCGUCAGCGACUGAGCGAAAGCAUUAAGUAAUCCACCUGGGGAGUACGUUCGCAAGAAUGAAACUCAAAGGAAUUGACGGGGGCCCGCACAAGCGGAGGAACAUGUGGUUUAAUUCGAUGAUACGCGAGGAACCUUACCUGGGCUUAAAUGUAGAGUGCAUUAUUUGGAAACAGAUAUUUUCUUCGGAACUCUUUACAAGGUGCUGCAUGGUUGUCGUCAGCUCGUGCCGUGAGGUGUCGGGUUAAGUCCCAUAACGAGCGCAACCCUCAUCGCCAGUUGCCAUCACGUAAAGGUGGGGACUCUGGUGAAACUGCCGGUGUAAACCGAGAGGAAGGUGGGGAUGACGUCAAAUCAGCACGGCCCUUAUGUCCAGGGCUACACACGUGUUACAAUGGCCGAUACAAAGGGCAGCUACCUGGUGACAGGAAGCUAAUCUCCAAAGUCGGUCUCAGUUCGGAUCGGAGUCUGCAACUCGACUCCGUGAAGCUGGAUUCGCUAGUAAUCGUAUAUCAGCAAUGAUACGGUGAAUACGUUCCCGGGCCUUGUACACACCGCCCGUCAAGCCAUGGAAGUCGGGGGUGCCUGAAGUCCGUAACCGCAAGGAUCGGCCUAGGGUAAAACCGAUGACUGGGGCUAAGUCGUAACAAGGUAGCCGUACCGGAAGGUGUGGCUG